RNAcentral lists this ribosomal RNA (275 nucleotides) under uncultured bacterium. RNAcentral's name for it is "partial 16S ribosomal RNA". It matches the Rfam family "Bacterial small subunit ribosomal RNA", at positions 79 to 353 of the family's 1533-position model. The record is from RNAcentral.
CUAAGUUUGAUGGCGACCGGCGCACGGGUGAGUAACACGUAUCCAACCUGCCGAUGACUCGGGGAUAGCCUUUCGAAAGAAAGAUUAAUACCCGAUGGCAUAGUUCUUCCGCAUGGUGGAACUAUUAAAGAAUUUCGGUCAUCGAUGGGGAUGCGUUCCAUUAGGUUGUUGGCGGGGUAACGGCCCACCAAGCCUUCGAUGGAUAGGGGUUCUGAGAGGAAGGUCCCCCACACUGGAACUGAGACACGGUCCAGACUCCUACGGGAGGCAGCAUG